UAAGAGAGCUUUAGGGUUUACAAAACUAAAGAUGAUCUAUAGGUAUACUUCACUUAGCUUUGGAUUAGGAGCAAUGAUUGUUGAGUUAUUUCCCUUAAAUUUGGCGAAAAUCUGGGCGGAGGUGUGUGGAGGGUGUGGCACUUGCAAGCCCUAGUUCAAAAUUUAUAACAAAACAAAAGUCAGAUUCGGUACUUACCGGUAUCCAAAUGUCUUGAAUUUUUUUAGGCAAAAAAUGAAAAAGGAACAAUUUAGACGAUACGCGUUUCGAGUAGUAAUAAAUAUAAUUUCUCAAUGGCUUUGGCUUAAAGACAACAAGAUAGUCGAACUGAGCCUUUAUUUUUUUUUAAACUAAAAACAAAGCCCAGUACCAAGCAUGAUUUUACACCUACCUUUCUCUUCGUAUUUUAGGAAAAACAUCCAACAUUACUAGUGGACUCCAACUGAACAACGCCAACCCCCUAUCCAAAUCCAGGCUCCGCCAUGACCCCUAUAUUUGUUUCAUGUGUGUCUAGUAUAAUCGCUAGAGUAUCAUGUUCCAACUGGGGAGCUGCCUAUGAGAUCUGUUGGGUUCCCUUUAAUAUCACCUUUGCUUUCUCUCCAAGAUUGUUAUGUGUUAUAAACAAAAUCACAGCUAGAAUUCAAAGUUUGGGCUUCUUAGUUCCUGUCCUUUGUAGAAAGGCUUCAUAUUAUCAUGUCUUUAUUGUUCAACGUUCUCCAAGAUUGUUGAACUUGUUGAAAUUAUUGACAGAAUACUGAAUUACAAAUAUCCUGAGGUUCCUCGUAACUUUUGAAUAAUUGAUGGCACCCAAUCCAAGAGUUUUGGAGGCCUUCAGAGCAAUGAAGAACUUGGGCAUUUCUCCGGAGACUGUCAGUCCGGUGCUCAAGAACCUUCUGAAACUGUAUAACAAGAAUUGGGAACUCAUUGAGGAGGAUAACUAUCGUACUCUUGCUGAUGCUAUAUUUGAGUAUGCAGAUGAUAAGAAAAGGCAAGAUAACGAGAAAGAUGCCAUGGAGUAUGAUGUGUCAGAACCUCCAUUGAAGAAAAUACACUUGGAACCGCAGGAAGAUCAGGCUUCGUCAGAACCUCCAUUGAAGAAAAUACACUUGGAACCGCAGGAAGAUCAGGCUUCGUCAACAGCGAAUAGCGGGAAUACCGUGUUGGUUCUAGAAGCUAAUGGAAUGCCACUGACUUCAAUUGCUCCAAAACUGAUGGAGUCCUCUCAGGCGCAUUCGAAAGAUAAGAAAACUGAAUCUAGUUCUCAUUCCCGUCACUCAGCUUUUAGAAACAAAGGGAAGGACCCCAUUUCUAGCUCUGGUUUGACCCAAGUAACAAAAUCAUCUUCCGAGAGGGCAUCAUCUGCCUUUCAUUCUAAUCAGGGGAGUGAUGGAAUUGGUUUUGACCAUAUGCUGAGAGAAAAGAAGCACAAAGAUUGUCUUGGUAAUGGUUUCGUGGUGCCUAAAAGAAAGCAAACUGUUCAUGACGUACCACAUUUGGCAUUACCAUCUUCUGUGGUCCAGUCAGGUAAUCCAGAGGGUUCACAUAGUUUGGGGGUUUCUCUGCAACAACCUACGAGUCGUGAUAGGAAACGGCCUUUUUGUAAAAUGCAUGCUGACAUAACGAAAGGGACUGAAAAGGUAAGGAUUUCAUUACUUGAUGAAAGUGGCAAGGAGCAGUUACCGAAUUUCAAUUAUUUGCCUGAGAACACAGUUUAUCAGAAUGCUUACAUCCAUUUCGCGUUGGCUCGGAUUGCGGAUACUGAUUGCUGUUCAAGUUGUUUAGGGGAUUGUCUUUCAUUACCUGUACCUUGUGAAUGUGCUGGUGAUACUGGGGGAGAGUUUGCCUACACAUCCGAAGGCCUGCUGAGAGAAGAAUUUCUCAAUAAGUGUAUUUCUAUGAAUGAAGCUCCUAGGGAGCAUUAUCAAGUAUAUUGCAUCGAUUGCCCAUUAGAAAGGGCUAAGAAUGAACACAUGCCUGCAAAAUGCAAGGGCCAUCUCGUGAGAAAGUUCAUCAAGGAAUGUUGGAGGAAAUGUGGCUGUGACAUGCUGUGUGGAAAUCGAGUUGUGCAGCGAGGUAUCUCACGUGAGUUGCAGGUGUUCUUGACGAAUGAAGGUAAAGGCUGGGGUCUUAGAAGCCUCCAGGACUUGCCGAAAGGUGCUUUUGUCUGCGAAUAUGUUGGGGAAAUUUUGACCAACAUGGAAUUAUAUGAGCGGAAUCAGCAAAGCAGUGGAAGUGAGAGACAUACAUACCCAGUGAUACUUGAUGCAGAUUGGGCUUCUGAGGGACUUUUGAAGGAUGAAGAAGCACUUUGCUUGGAUGCAACAUUUAAUGGGAAUGUGGCGAGAUUCAUAAAUCACAGAUGCUCUGAUGCAAAUUUGCUCGAGAUCCCUGUCGAAGUAGAGACCCCUGAUCGCCAUUAUUAUCAUCUUGCCUUUUUUACCAAAAGAAAAGUGGAUGCUCUGGAAGAACUUACAUGGGACUACGGGAUUGAUUUCUAUGAUCAUAAUCAUCCUAUCAAGGCAUUUCAAUGCUGUUGUGGAAGUGGAUUAUGUCGAGGAGUGAGGAAAAUGUUGAUCUGCUGAUGCCGAUCAAAAAAAGAGAGGUUGAUCUGCUGAUACGCUUCUGGAUCCUCUGCAAUAGGAAUACCAGCCUCAGUUUGUUCGUCAGCCAUGCAAAAACUCAUAUUGAUUGGAUAUCAGUACCCACCUGAGCAAAGCAUAAAUGUCGACAGUGACCGUCUAUUUUUCUUAUAACCAAUACCACUCGACCAGCCCUUACCGAUGUCCGAUGGACCUAAUUUUUUACAUGCGUGAUAAACACAUGGAGACAUGUAAAUGAAUGUCUUGGAUCGUCACGUUGGACCUUGGUAGGUCCUAUUUUGCGUUACAUGAGAUGAUCAUCACAUGAGAGGAUUUUGAUUUCGCUUGUAUAUAAGGCUGUGUUUAUCCUUUGUGUUUCUGCCAAAGCUGUGUUUUGAUUUUGGCUUUGUGGAGGGAUUUACAAAGAGAAGGGAAAUUGUUGGGGAACCAAAAAUAUGAAUUCGUCACUUCAUUCUCUUCUUGUCUUUUCCAUUACAGUUUCCUUUCCCUCUAUAAAUCCCUCUGCAAAUCCACGAUGGAGACACAGCCUAAAUAUUACUAUUAACUUCUCUGACAGGAACUGAAUCAAGUGCCUUUCAGAUGACCAACCGGUGAGAUACUAAGUCCUGUUCCAAGAUAUGCUGAGAAGCAUAAAAUGGAGUACAAACCUUCCUAAUGACAUUUUUUGUACUUCUGCUACUGCAGAUAUUCGUUUAGCUGCACUAUAGUGUUUUCUUUAGGAUAUUGUCGUAGAGGAUUUUCUGACAGGUGAAUAAAUUCAUGCUGGUAAUUUUCCAGGGGAAAAACAAACCUAGAUAUAAGUGAUUUUGUUGACUCUUCCAAUUGCCCUCGGCAUUUUUGUCAAGCUAUAUGUUCUUCCUCGGAAAGGGUAAUUAUCGUACUUUAGACCUAAUUCAGUAUAGCCACUACUUGGCAAUGGAAAGUACACAAGUUUCUCUC
RNA transcript from Rhododendron vialii, 3537 nucleotides. It is a transcript of the gene named histone-lysine N-methyltransferase SUVR4-like, with no coding region annotated. The transcript has 10 exons. The record is from RefSeq and is a predicted model, not a curated record. Lineage: Eukaryota; Viridiplantae; Streptophyta; Magnoliopsida; Ericales; Ericaceae.